Molecule: ribosomal RNA, 509 nt
Filed under: uncultured bacterium
Lineage: Bacteria
Description: partial 16S ribosomal RNA
Rfam family: Bacterial small subunit ribosomal RNA (bases 20-325)
Source: RNAcentral
GACGAACGCUGGCGGCGUGCUUAACACAUGCAAGUCGAACGGAAAGGCCCUGCUUUUGUGGGGUGCUCGAGUGGCGAACGGGUGAGUAACACGUGAGUAACCUGCCCUUGACUUUGGGAUAACUUCAGGAAACUGGGGCUAAUACCGGAUAGGAGCUCCUGCUGCAUGGUGGGGGUUGGAAAGUUUCGGCGGUUGGGGAUGGACUCGCGGCUUAUCAGCUUGUUGGUGGGGUAGUGGCUUACCAAGGCUUUGACGGGUAGCCGGCCUGAGAGGGUGACCGGCCAGUGGGGGAGGGGGAUGCGGCCAAGCGGGGGGUGGGGGGGGGGGGGGGGAAAGAGGGGACGGGGGGGGGCAGCGUGACGCAGAAGGGCGGGGUGCGGGAGGAGGGCCGCCGGGUUGGAGCCCGCUUUCGCCUGGGACGGAGGGGGAGGGGCGGGGGGGGGAAAGGAAGCGCCGGCAAUGAGGGGGCCAGCAGCGGGGGUAAUAAGCGGAAGACCGCACGUCUGGGU